Molecule: ribosomal RNA, 502 nt
Filed under: Amynthas sp. FJ201110-02
Lineage: Eukaryota; Metazoa; Annelida; Clitellata; Crassiclitellata; Megascolecidae
Description: partial 16S ribosomal RNA
Rfam family: Bacterial large subunit ribosomal RNA
Source: RNAcentral
UCAAAAACAUUGUCUUAUGAAUAAAAUAUUAGAUAAUACCUGCCCAGUGACAUCUGUUCAACGGCCGCGGUAUUCUAACCGUGCAAAGGUAGCAUAAUCAUUUGCCUAUUAAUUGUAGGCUAGAAUGAACGGGUUAACGAAAUAAAAGCUGUCUCAAUUAAUUAACUAAAAAUUAUUCUCUACCCGAAGAAAGGUAGAUAAAUUCGAAGGACAAGAAGACCCUAUAGAGCUUAAUAUAAACUAUAGAACUACACUAUAUUAAUAUUCGGUUGGGGCGACCCAGGGCUAAUCAAUCACCCAUUAAAUGAAAGAUAAAUUAAUCCAAUUAAUGACCCUUUAAAGAUCAUAAGACCAAGCUACCUUAGGGAUAACAGGCUAAUCCCACUUAAGAGUCCUUAUCAACAGUGGGGAUUGGCACCUCGAUGUUGGCUUAGGGUACCUCUAUAGCGCAAAAGUUAUAUAAAGGUGGUUUGUUCAACCAAUAAUUCCCUACGUGAUCAUU